Molecule: ribosomal RNA, 465 nt
Filed under: Vreelandella stevensii
Lineage: Bacteria; Pseudomonadati; Pseudomonadota; Gammaproteobacteria; Oceanospirillales; Halomonadaceae
Description: partial 16S ribosomal RNA
Rfam family: Bacterial small subunit ribosomal RNA
Source: RNAcentral
CCUACGGGGGGCAGCAGUGGGGAAUAUUGGACAAUGGGCGAAAGCCUGAUCCAGCCAUGCCGCGUGUGUGAAGAAGGCCUUCGGGUUGUAAAGCACUUUCAGUGGGGAAGAAAGCCUUGGGGCUAAUACCCUCGAGGAAGGACAUCACCCACAGAAGAAGCACCGGCUAACUCCGUGCCAGCAGCCGCGGUAAUACGGAGGGUGCGAGCGUUAAUCGGAAUUACUGGGCGUAAAGCGCGCGUAGGCGGUCUGAUAAGCCGGUUGUGAAAGCCCCGGGCUCAACCUGGGAACGGCAUCCGGAACUGUCAGGCUAGAGUGCAGGAGAGGAAGGGAGAAUUCCCGGUGUAGCGGUGAAAUGCGUAGAGAUCGGGAGGAAUACCAGUGGCGAAGGCGGCCUUCUGGACUGACACUGACGCUGAGGUGCGAAAGCGUGGGUAGCAAACAGGAUUAGAUACCCCUGUAGUC